CCAUGCAGUCUCAGUACAAGCCGAACUAAGGUGAAACCGCAAAAGGCUCAUUAAAUCAGUUAUGGUUCCUUGGAUCGUACAAUCCAUUACUUGGAUAACUGUGGUAAUUCUAGAGCUAAUACAUGCAAACAGAGUCCCGACCAGAAAUGGAAGGGACGCUUUUAUUAGAUCAAAACCAAUCGGCGUCCGUUUACCUUCCGGUCGACGGCGUCGUACUCCUUGGUGACUCUGAAUAACUUUUAGCAGAUCGCACGGUCUUAGAACCGGCGACGCAUCCUUCAAAUGUCUGCCUUAUCAACUGUCGAUGGUAGGUUCUGCGCCUACCAUGGUUGUAACGGGUAACGGGGAAUCAGGGUUCGAUUCCGGAGAGGGAGCCUGAGAAACGGCUACCACAUCCAAGGAAGGCAGCAGGCGCGCAAAUUACCCACUCCCGGCACGGGGAGGUAGUGACGAAAAAUAACGAUACGGGACUCAUCCGAGGCCCCGUAAUCGGAAUGAGUAUACUCUAAAUCCUUAUACGAGUAUCAAUUGGAGGGCAAGUCUGGUGCCAGCAGCCGCGGUAAUUCCAGCUCCAAUAGCGUAUAUUAAAGUUGUUGCGGUUAAAAAGCUCGUAGUUGGAUCUGUGUUCCGCUCCGUCGGUACACCGCCUGUCGGUGUUUAACUGGCGAGCAUGCGGGACGUCCUGCCGGUGGCGGUCCGGUCCCGCGGUAGCGACGUAGGGUUCGGCCAGCGGUUCUGCCGUUGCGUCGUCCUUAAGUCCUUCGCGGGGUGCCGGCCGCCUUUUCAAUCCCGUCGCGGUGCUCUUUACUGAGUGUCGAGGCGGGCCGGCACGUUUACUUUGAACAAAUUAGAGUGCUUUAAGCAGGCCCUGUCCGCCUGUAUGUUGUGUGCAUGGAAUAAUGGAAAUAGGACCUCGGGUUCUAUUUUGUUGGUUUUCGGAAUCUGAGGUAAUGAUCAAUGGGGACUGGCGGGGGCAUUCGUAAUUGCGACGUUAGAGGUGAAAUUCUUUG
This 1010-nucleotide ribosomal RNA is filed under the name Dictyophara patruelis. Its description in RNAcentral is "bacterial SSU rRNA". It matches the Rfam family "Eukaryotic small subunit ribosomal RNA", at positions 49 to 923 of the family's 1831-position model. The record is from RNAcentral. Lineage: Eukaryota; Metazoa; Arthropoda; Insecta; Hemiptera; Dictyopharidae.